RNAcentral lists this ribosomal RNA (516 nucleotides) under uncultured bacterium. RNAcentral's name for it is "bacterial SSU rRNA". It matches the Rfam family "Bacterial small subunit ribosomal RNA", at positions 29 to 526 of the family's 1533-position model. The record is from RNAcentral.
AGCGAACGUUAGCGGCGGGCUUAACACAUGCAAGUCGAGCGAGAAAAGGGCUUCGGCCCUUAGUAAAGCGGCGGACGGGUGAGUAACACGUAGGUAAUCUUCCCUUGAGCGGGGGACAACAGGCCGAAAGGCCUGCUAAUACCGCAUACGUUUCUCGGGACUCCGGUCCUGGGAAGGAAAGCUAGGCCGCAAGGUCCGGCACUCGAGGAGGAGCCUGCGUCGCAUCAGCUAGUUGGUGGGGUAACGGCCUACCAAGGCGAAGACGCGUAGCUGGUCUGAGAGGAUGAUCAGCCACACUGGGACUGAGACACGGCCCAGACUCCUACGGGAGGCAGCAGUGGGGAAUAUUGGACAAUGGGCGCAAGCCUGAUCCAGCCACGCCGCGUGAGUGAUGAAGGCCUUCGGGUCGUAAAGCUCUGUGGGGAGGGACGAACCGCCGUUGGUUCAUAGCCAACGGCAUGACGGUACCUCCUUAGCAAGCACCGGCUAACUUCGUGCCAGCCGCCGCCGUAACAC